GUGGUAUCAUAAAUGGUUUCCAUGGAAACAAAAGGUUAGGAUAGAACAGUGCCAAUGUGCAUGUAAACUUCAGAAUUAAACAAGGGCUGUUGUUUUUGCCUGUCAUGGAGUUCCGUUCAUUCUGAACAUGUCACCGGGGACUUUGGAAUGUGUAUCCAUAACUCCCUGAUUUUCAACCACAUUCCAGCCUGCCUGACUCAUGAAGCGUGGAGCGACCCAGGAACAUCCCAGCUCCUCAUGUCCCACAUUCUUCAGGCUUUCUCUUAGUUUUGGCAUGUGCAUGUAAAUGUCAACAGUGCCCAGAUCAGCGCCUGAUAUAUACUUGGCACACAAUAACCACUCUUGAAAUUCAUGAAGGAAUCUGGACAUUUAGGGGGUUCACAGAAUCCGCCGCUUUUAGGGAAGAUUCUCUGCCUGAUGUGUGAGCGCUCUAACCUCUUCAUCUGUGUUCAGUCCCCUUGCAAUGCUUCUCUAAGAUCAAUAAAGGCAAAAACCAGGAGAUCCCAUAAAUCCCGCUGAGCCUGUCAUAGCUAUCAAAUUAUACCCAGAUAAAGCUUCUGGUGGCUAAUGACAUGGCCAUCACCCAGCGUGGACGUGGGCAGGAGGGGCUCUCCGGGAGCAUCUGGUCUGCUGUGGAGACACUUGUCAUCUGGAGGCUCUGUGGCUCUAAUGGAGGGUGAUGCUUUGAACGCGACUAUCUCCCCCAUAAAAAAAUAAAUAAAUAAUAAGUAUAAUUUAAAAAUAAACAAAGAUCUGGAUUUGCAGGCUACUUACUGUCGCAGGACCAAGAUU
RNAcentral lists this long non-coding RNA (792 nucleotides) under Homo sapiens (human). Its description in RNAcentral is "HSALNT0290047". The record is from RNAcentral. Lineage: Eukaryota; Metazoa; Chordata; Mammalia; Primates; Hominidae.